AUUGAACGCUGGCGGCAGGCCUAACACAUGCAAGUCGAGCGAGCGGCGGGCGGGUGAGUAAUGUCUGGGAAACUGCCUGAUGGAGGGGGAUAACUCCUGGAAACGGUAGCUAAUACCGCAUACCAUCAGAUGUGCCCAGAUGGGAUUAGCUAGUAGGUGGGGUAACGGCUCACCUAGGCGACGAUCCCUAGCUGGUCUGAGAGGAUGACCAGCCGCACCGCAACUGAGACACGGUCCAUACUCCGACGGGAGGCAGCAGUGGUGAAUAUUGCACAAUGGUCGCAAGCCUGAUGCAGCCAUGCCGCGUGUGUGAAGAAGGCCUGCGGGUUGUAAAGCACUUUCAGCGGGGAGGCGUUACCCGCAGAAGAAGCACCGGCUAACUCCGUGCCAGCAGCCGCGGUAAUAC
Molecule: ribosomal RNA, 406 nt
Filed under: uncultured bacterium
Lineage: Bacteria
Description: partial 16S ribosomal RNA
Rfam family: Bacterial small subunit ribosomal RNA
Source: RNAcentral